RNAcentral lists this long non-coding RNA (334 nucleotides) under Phascolarctos cinereus (koala). Its description in RNAcentral is "lncRNA (ENSPCIG00000032773.1)". Lineage: Eukaryota; Metazoa; Chordata; Mammalia; Diprotodontia; Phascolarctidae. The record is from RNAcentral.
UUCCAGAGCAAACAUGUGAGAACCCCUUAGGCUGUGACCAGUUCUAGGGCUGGGGAUGAGCUCACCAGCACCUGUGUGCCAUUCUGAAGACCUACUUCUACCUUCUUUGCUGAGGCUUCCAUCCAGGUGUCCCUCUAUCUUGGAGAUUUGGAAAUGUCUGCUUCAUCCAUAACCCCCACCCUCGGGCCCAGAUCUUGGCCACAUGUCAUCUAAUUUGAGCCCACUUCCAUCAACUGUGAGCUUCCUGAAUAAGAAGACCCUAUUUGACAGAGGAACUGGGAGUGAGUCUCUCUGUUCUGCCUCCCCAUCCUCCUCCUCCCUUCUCACCCCUCUC